This 253-nucleotide ribosomal RNA is filed under the name uncultured bacterium. RNAcentral describes it as "partial 16S ribosomal RNA". It matches the Rfam family "Bacterial small subunit ribosomal RNA", at positions 524 to 776 of the family's 1533-position model. The record is from RNAcentral.
UACGUAGGGGGCAAGCGUUGUCCGGAAUCAUUGGGCGUAAAGCGCGCGUAGGCGGCCCGGUAAGUCCGUUGUGAAAGUCAAAGGCUCAACCUUUGAACGCCGAUGGAUACUGCCGGGCUAGAGUCCGGAAGAGGCGAGUGGAAUUCCUGGUGUAGCGGUGGAAUGCGUAGAGAUCGGGAAGAACAUCGGUGGCGAAGGCGGCCAGCUGGGCCGUUGCUGACGCUGAGGCGCGACAGCGUGGGGAGCAAACAGG